This 497-nucleotide ribosomal RNA is filed under the name uncultured bacterium. RNAcentral describes it as "partial 16S ribosomal RNA". It matches the Rfam family "Bacterial small subunit ribosomal RNA", at positions 28 to 507 of the family's 1533-position model. The record is from RNAcentral.
GAUGAACGCUGGCGGCGUGCCUAAUACAUGCAAGUCGAGCGAACGGACGAGAAGCUUGCUUCUCUGAUGUUAGCGGAGGACGUGUGAGUAACACGUGGAUAACCUCCUUAUAAGACUGGGAUCACCUCGGGACACCGGAGCUAAUACCGGAUAAUAUUUUGAACCGCAUGGUUCAAUAGUGAAAGACGGUCUUGCUGUCACUUCUAGAUGGAUCCGCGCUGCAUUAGCUGGUUGGUAAGUUAACAGCUUACCAAGGCAACGAUGCCUAGCCGACGUGAUAGACUGAUCGCCGACACUGGAGCGUAGACGGGGUCCAUAGUCCUGCGGGAGGCAGCAGAAGGGAAUCUGCCGCAAUGGUGGAAAGCCUGACGGAGCAACGGCGCGUGAGUGAUGACGGUGUUCGGAUCGUGAAACUCUGUUAUGAGGGAAAAACAGAUGUGUAAGGAAAUGUGCACAGCGUGACGGUACCUAAUCAGAAAGCCACGGCUAACUACGUG